RNAcentral lists this ribosomal RNA (432 nucleotides) under uncultured soil bacterium. RNAcentral describes it as "bacterial SSU rRNA". It matches the Rfam family "Bacterial small subunit ribosomal RNA", at positions 26 to 454 of the family's 1533-position model. The record is from RNAcentral.
AGAUUGAACGCUGGCGGUAUGCUUAACACAUGCAAGUCGAACGGCAGCACAGGGUAGCUUGCUAUCCGGGUGGCGAGUGGCGGACGGGUGAGUAACGCGUAGGAAUCUACCUUUUCGUGGGGGAUAACCCGGGGGAAACUCGGGCUAAUACCGCAUACGCCCUACGGGGGAAAGCGGGGGACCUUCGGGCCUCGCGCGGAACGAUGAGCCUGCGUCCUAUCAGGUAGUUGGUGAGGUAAUGGCUCACCAAGCCGACGACGGGUAGCUGGUCUGAGAGGACGACCAGCCACACUGGGACUGAGACACGGCCCAGACUCCUACGGGAGGCAGCAGUGGGGAAUAUGGACAAUGGGGGAAACCCUGAUCCAGCAAUACCGCGUGUGUAGAAGAAGGCCUUCGGUUGUAAGCUACUUUUAGCGAAGGAAAGAAAGG